This 342-nucleotide ribosomal RNA is filed under the name uncultured bacterium. Its description in RNAcentral is "bacterial SSU rRNA". It matches the Rfam family "Bacterial small subunit ribosomal RNA", at positions 1 to 334 of the family's 1533-position model. The record is from RNAcentral.
GUGAGUAGUUCAUUGAUCCUGGCUCAGGAUGAACGCUAGCGACAGGCCUAACACAUGCAAGUCGAGGGGCAGCAUGAAAUUAGCUUGCUAAUUUUGAUGGCGACCGGCGCACGGGUGAGUAACACGUAUGCAACCUGCCUGUAAGCGGGGGAUAACCCGGAGAAAUUCGGACUAAUACCGCAUAAUAUCAUUGAUUCGCAUGUUUCAAUGAUUAAAAAUUUAUUGCUUACAGAUGGGCACGCGUAUGAUUAGCUAGUUGGCGGGGUAACGGCCCACCAAGGCGACGAUCAUUAGGGGUUCUGAGAGGAAGGUCCCCCACAUUGGAACUGAGACACGGUCCAA